RNAcentral lists this ribosomal RNA (664 nucleotides) under uncultured bacterium. Its description in RNAcentral is "bacterial SSU rRNA". It matches the Rfam family "Bacterial small subunit ribosomal RNA", at positions 197 to 857 of the family's 1533-position model. The record is from RNAcentral.
GCGGCGUAAGCUGUCGCUAUGGGAUGGCCCCGCGGUGCAUUAGCUAGUUGGUAAGGUAAAGGCUUACCAAGGCGAUGAUGCAUAGCCGAGUUGAGAGACUGAUCGGCCACAUUGGGACUGAGACACGGCCCAAACUCCUACGGGAGGCAGCAGUAGGGAAUCUUCCACAAUGGACGCAAGUCUGAUGGAGCAACGCCGCGUGAGUGAAGAAGGUUUUCGGAUCGUAAAGCUCUGUUGUUGGUGAAGAAGGAUAGAGGUAGUAACUGGCCUUUAUUUGACGGUAAUCAACCAGAAAGUCACGGCUAACUACGUGCCAGCAGCCGCGGUAAUACGUAGGUGGCAAGCGUUGUCCGGAUUUAUUGGGCGUAAAGCGAGCGCAGGCGGAAGAAUAAGUCUGAUGUGAAAGCCCUCGGCUUAACCGAGGAACUGCAUCGGAAACUGUUUUUCUUGAGUGCAGAAGAGGAGAGUGGAACUCCAUGUGUAGCGGUGGAAUGCGUAGAUAUAUGGAAGAACACCGGUGGCGAAGGCGGCUCUCUGGUCUGCAACUGACGCUGAGGCUCGAAAGCAUGGGUAGCGAACAGGAUUAGAUACCCUGGUAGUCCAUGCCGUAAACGAUGAGUGCUAAGUGUUGGGAGGUUUCCGCCUCUCAGUGCUGCAGCUAACG